RNAcentral lists this signal recognition particle RNA (166 nucleotides) under Stygamoeba regulata. RNAcentral's name for it is "partial Metazoan signal recognition particle RNA". It matches the Rfam family "Protozoan signal recognition particle RNA". Lineage: Eukaryota; Discosea; Stygamoebida. The record is from RNAcentral.
UGUCCGCGACUUAUCCGAUGUCACUCCAGGCUUCUGAGUGGAAACACAGAUGUCUGGUAGUCUUGAAGAGAACCCCACCAGACCAGGGUAGAAAUACAGCAGUCGAAAGGUUCCGCCUCGGAUCGUGUUGGGAAUGCAAGGAGGAGGACAACUGGUGCGGGCCCAG